Diabrotica virgifera virgifera (western corn rootworm) is the source of this 996-nucleotide long non-coding RNA. RefSeq lists it as uncharacterized. The transcript has 2 exons. NCBI's taxonomy places the organism in Eukaryota, Metazoa, Arthropoda, Insecta, Coleoptera, Chrysomelidae. The record is from RefSeq and is a predicted model, not a curated record.
GUGAAUAAAAGAUAAAUGUAACAACAUAGGAAAAAAUUAUUACUUAAAGUAUGUAGUUUUUAAUUAAUUUAUUUCUUUGGCUUUCUAUGACACCAGGGAGUCGCCAGAAUAUUUCGACCUGUAAAGGGGUCGCGAAAUCAGAAAGAUUGAAAAACAAUGAUUUAGAUCAUGAUAUCAAGUAGGUAGGUACCUAUGUUGAAUCUUACUAGAUCAUGGAUAGGAUGAUCUAUUUUAGAUUAUAUGAUUUACGUAAAAAGAGAACAAUAAUUAAAGGGACUUUCGCUAGAAAUAGUUCAUAAACUAAAUAUAAAAUGCGUUGUGCAGUAGCUGGUUGUUUGAGUGAUAAUCAGAAGAAAAAUGGCGAUAAAUCUGUUAGAUUUCAUGGUUUUCCCAAGGAUUUGGCAUUGGAAAAACUGUAGGUUAUUACUUGUUGCCGAGAAGACAAAUUUAAUACAAAAAUCUCAAUGACUUGUUCCAAACAUUUUAAGCGGGAAGACUUUGAAAGAAAUUUAACAACAAUUUAAGCAACAUAAUUACUGCAAUAUGAAUCAAAGAAAGGACCCAAACUGAAGAGUGAUGCUGUUCCUUCUCUUCAUCUGCCACAAUCAAAAAGUCUUUAUAUCAAUCAACUUAAAAGGCAGGAAAGACUUUCCAAAAGGGAGUCGAAGUUAGAUUUGCCUGAAAGUACGGAUACUUCCACUUACACGUGGAUUGACCAAGUCUCCGAAGGGGGCCUAAAGAAACCUCCAGAAGAAUUGGUGGUAAAAAUGCAUCAACUGGAUACUAUAUUUAAUAAUUUCAAUGGGUCUGGACUUCAGUUAAAGUCAGGGAAAAAUUAUUUGCAAAGACUGAUUGAUUUGUCUGAAAAUAUUGAAUGUGAUUACAAAACCAAACACCUGUUCUUUCGGUCGCACAUGUAUUUUAGGAUUAAGAAAUUAAACUUAGCACUUAAAGAAAAUAUGAGAAAUAAGAGAAAAGUAAAGAAAAUUGUAAAAA